RNAcentral lists this long non-coding RNA (8848 nucleotides) under Homo sapiens (human). RNAcentral's name for it is "non-protein coding lnc-ESR2-3:13". The record is from RNAcentral. Lineage: Eukaryota; Metazoa; Chordata; Mammalia; Primates; Hominidae.
GGUUUCCGCCCAGUCUCUGGGGACGCGGUGGCGGGGUCUGAAUCGCCUGGCUUCCAGGGAGUUUUGGGCGGGUCCCCGCACGGGAGCGUGGCAGGCGCUGGACUCGACAGCAGAUGUGGAACUGGAGAGCUUGGCGCGCCCUCAUACUUUGUCACACACCUACGCCACCAGACUGGGGUCGGGCCCCUCCGCGUUCUGCUCUGGAGGGCCUGGGUCUGGGCCCAGCAUAGCGCUUUUAGAAUCUCCUCAGCUGAAUCUGACGCUCAGCCGUAGGUGAAGCUUAGCCCGCUGUUUCAGGCCCCGCCGAUCUGGAAGGAGUGUCAGAGCUGGAGCGCGCGUGGCCUCAUCGGUGUUGGGGUCACCCCGGGGUUGCCAGGGCUCAUGGAGGGUCGUAGUCUGGAUUUUGUCACCCCCACGUCCCCGCCCCGCAGCAAGUCUGGGGUUGGAGAACUCACGCGGUCUUCGUAAGCUACAUGCCAGUUGACCCUCGAGGAGGGAUGCUCCCUCCCCUUAAGCGUCCACGCUGGAGAAGGGGCUGGAAUGCAAUGGUGAGAUCUAGGCUCCGCUUCUCAGGUUCAAGUGAUUCUCCUGCCUCAGCCUCCUGAGUAAGCUGGGAAUACAGGCGCCCGCCACCACGCCCAGGUAAUUUUUGUAUGUUUAGUAGAGACAGGGUUUCGCCAUAUUGGCGAGGCUUGUCUCAAACUCCUGACCUCAGGUGAUCCACCCACCUCCAAAAGUGUUGGGAUUACAGGCAUCACCCACCACGCGUGACCAGCUUUUAUACAUUUUUAAAUGAUAAAGACAGGUUAAUAAAAUGUAUAAUAUUAUGUUGCUAUAUCCAAAAAAAGGCCUUCUUUGAUUACACUAUCAAAAGUUACCUCUCCAUCUACAUCCCCAUUACUAUCUCAUUAACCUGUUUUAUUCAUAGCACUUACUACCAUCUAAAAUGACUUUAUUUCUUUAUAUUUUUGUUUGCUACCUGUCUUUUACACCAGAAUUUAAUUUUUAAGCUUUUUUUGUUUGUUUGUUUGUUUGUUUUGAGAUGGAGUCUUGCUCUGUUGCCCAGACUGGAGUGCAGUGGUGCGAUCUCAGCUCACUGCAACCUCUGCCUCCUGGGUUCAAUCAAUCCUCCUGCCUCAGCCUCCCAAGUAGCUGGGAUUACAGGCAUGUGCCACCAUGCCCAGCUAAUUUUUGCAUUUUUAGUACAGCAGGGUUUCACCAUGUUGGUCAAGCUGGUCUCAAACUCCUGACCUCAGGAGAUCCGUCAGCCUUGGCCUCCCAAAGUGUUGGGAUUACAGGCGUGAGCCACAGCACCCAGCCAGAAUUUAAACUUUAUAAGAGAUUUCCUGUCUUGUUCAUACUUAUAUACCUGCAGCUUCGAAACAUAUAUAUAUGUUUAAUAUAUAUAAUAGAUAUAUUUUAAAUUAUAUAUAGAGAGAUGGAGUUUCACUCUUGUUGCCCAGACUGGAGUGCAAUGGCGUGAUCUCGGCUCACCACAACCUCUGCCCCCCGGGUUCAAGCAAUUCUCCUGCCUCAGCCUCCAGAGUAGUUGGAAUUACAGGCACGUGCCACCAUGCCUGGCUAAUUUUGUAUUUUUAGUAGAGACAGAGUUUCUCCAUGUUGGUCAGGCUGGUCUCGAGCUCUUGACCUCAGGUAGUCUGCCUGCCUCGGCCUCACAAAGUGCUGGGAUUACAAGCAUGAGUCACUGUGCCCUGCCAGAAUUUAAGCUUUAUAAGAGAUUUCCUGUCUGUUUAUACUUAAAUACCUGCAGCUUGGAAACAUAUAUAUGUUUAUAUGUAUAUAUUACAUACAUUAUAUAUAUAUUUUUAUAUAUUAUAAUUAUAAACUCCUGACCUCAGGUGAUCCACCUGCCUCAGUCUCUCAAAUGCUGGGAUUACAGGCGUGAGCCACCACGCCAGGCCAGAAACAUAUUUUUAAAAAUCUUGUUUUAGAGGAAAAACAGAGUAUUUCUUUUUUUUUUUUUAUUAGAUGGAUUCUCACUCUAUUGCCCAGGCUGGAGUACAGUGGCACAAUCUUGGCUCACCGCAACCUCAGCCUCCCGGGUUCAAGCAAUUCUCCUGCCUCAGCCUCCCGAGUAGUUGGAACUAUAGGCGUGAGCCACCAUGCCCUGCUAAUUUUUGUAUUUUUAGUGCAGAUGGGGUUUCACUAUGUUGGCCAGGCUGGUCUCGAACUCCUGACCUUGUGAUCUGCCCACCUCGGCCUCCCAAAGUGCUGGGAUUACAGGUGUGAGCCACUGCGCCCGGCCUAUUUCUUCUUCUCUUUGUUUAGUUAUUAUCUAUUACUCUCAUUCCUAUGAACAUAACUUGUUUCUCCCCACUUAAUUUUUAUCAUACAUAAUUGUAGACAGUGGGCACUGUCUUCAAUUAUAGUGAAUUUAGCAGUAAAUUCACAUUAGACCAACUUGUAUAGCUUUAAAAAAUAUAUUUAUGUCUAGGUUCCACCCUUGACCAACUAAGUCAGAACUUGGGUGGGUUCAAGGUUCAUUAUUCUUUGAAGAUAAGAUGAUGUUUGAAUAAAAUUCCUGGUGAUUCUGGUAUCAAAAAUACAAAUUUGGGACAUACUUUUUCUGCUGUAAAAAUAUUUUCCUAAGGCCAGGCGCAGUGGCUCACGCCUGUAAUCCUAGCACUUUGGGAGACGGAGGCGGCGGAUCACUUGAGGCCAGGAGUUCAAGACCAGUCUGGCCAACAUGGUGAAACCCAGUCUCUACUAAAAAUAGAAAAAAUUAGCCAGGCAUGGUGGCACGUGCCUGUAGUCCCAGCUACUCAAGAGGCUGAGGCAGGAGAAUCCUUUGAACCCGGGAGGCAGAGGUUGCAGUGAGCCGAUAUUGCAGCACUGCACUCCAGCCUGGGUGACAGAUCAAAACUCUGUCUCAGAAAAAAAAAAAAAAAAAAAAAGAAUUUCCUAGAAUUAGAAUCGCAGGGGUUUUUUUUGUUUUGUUUGUUUGUUUGUUUGUUUGUUUUUGAGACAGAGUUUCACUCCUGUCGCCCAGGCUGGAGUGCAAUGCCAUGAUCUCGGCUCAUUGCAACCUCUGCCUCCUGAGUUCAAGCAAUCCUCCUGCCUCAGCCUCCCGAAUAGCUGGGAUUACAGGCACCUGCCACCAUGCCCAGCUAAUUUUUGUAUUUUUAGUAGAGACUGGGUUUUACCAUGUUGGCCAAGCUGGUCUCGAACUCCUGACGUCAGGUGAUCCACCCAGCUCAUUCUCCCAAAGUGCUGGAAUUACAAGCAUGAGCCACUGCACUCGGCCUUUAUUUAUUUAUUUAUUUUUGAGAUGAAGUCUUGCUCUGUUGCCCAAGCUGGAGUGCAAUGGCAUGAUCUCGGCUCACUGCAACCUCCACCUCCCAGGUUCAAGCAAUUCUCCUGCCUCAGCCCCCUGAGUAGCUGGGAUUACAGGCGUGCACCACCACGCCUGGCUAAUUUUUGUAUUUUUAGUAGAGACAGGGUUUCACUAUGUUGGUCAGGUUAGUCUCGAGCUCCUGACUUCGUGAUCCGCCCGCCUCAGCCUUCCAAAGUGUUGGGAUUACAGGCGUGAGCCACCGCGCCUGGCCAGAAUCCCAGUUUUUUAACACAUCUAAUGCUUUAGGAAUAGUAAAUGGAAACAUCAUUUCCCCUUCUUUCGAAGUACUUCUACCUUGAUGAGAUGUAUGUAUUGGAGUACAAUAUUUGACCUAGCCAAGAAUUUCACAAAAGAAGCCCAAAAUAUGAUUUUCACGUUUACUGGACUGUUCACUUUUGGUGGGAUCACUUUCUUAAGAUUACUUAAAGUACUAAUGCUUGAUGAAAAUCAUUUGUGUUUUCACUUCAUUAAUUGGAGAAAGAGCUACAUGUUUUUGUUGUUGUUGUUGUUGUUUUGAGAUGGUGUCUUGCUCUGUCUCCCAGGCUGGAGUGCAAUGGCGUGAUCUCAGCUCACUGCAACCUCCGCCUCCCGGGUUCAAGCGAUUCUCCUGCCUCAGCCUCCUGAGUAGCUGGGACUACAGGCGCCUGCCACCACGCCCAGCUAAUUUUUAUACUUUUAAUAGAGACAGGGUUUCACCAUAUUGGCCAGGAUGGUCUCAAUCUCUUGACCUUGUGAUCCACCCGCCUUGGCCUCCCAAAGUGCUGGGAUUACAGGCGUGAGCCACUGCGCCCAGCCAGAGCUACAGGUUUUACUGUAACACUUUAGAAGGUCCUUUUUCUUUGUACCUCUGUGAUGUGUUCACCUAGCAACAGCUUCUUUGAUAUGCAAACAUUCUACAGGCAAAUUGCUCAGAGCAGCUACUCAUGUUGGACAAUUCAGGUCUCUUCUGGAAACUGGCCUUGUAUUUGGAAUUUUCUCCAGAGUCUGAUGUGGUAAAAAUUUAUACUUUUCACUUCUUACUAAAUGCAGCAUAGCAUACUACAUCUUUUGAGUGUGUAAAAAAUAAAGUAGUCAUGUACAAACCUAAAAUCACAGAAUAAUCAUGUAACGGUGCUAUAUUUUAUUUUUACUUUAGAUUCCUAAUACAUUUUUAUUGUAUCUUUAUAAGGUUAGUUUGGGAGAAUAGCACUAUCAUCAUCUAUAUUAGUUAACUUUGCAUUAAGGUUUUUCAUUAAGGUUUUUCCCCUGUUUGGUUCUUUCAUUUUACGAUCCAUAUUUUUUGUGCCUGGUAUGGGAUGAUAAAGAUAACAGAAAUAGCUCCUGUUUUUAGGUACCUUUAUUUGUUUGUUUGUUUGGAGACAGGGUCUUACUCUGUCACCCAGGCUGGUGGCACAAUCAUAGCUUACUACAGACUAACUCCUGGCUCAAGCCAUCCUCCACCUCAGCCUCCCAAGUAACUGAGAUUACAGGUGCACACCACCACCUCUGGCUAAUUAUUAAAAUUUUCAUAGAGACAGGAUCUCACUUGGUUGGCCAGACUGAUCUCAAACUCCUGGUCUCAAGUGAUCCUCCCACCCCAGCCUCCUGAAGUACUAGGAUUGCAGGCAUGAACCACUGCCCUGGCCUAGAUACAUUUAAUGUAGUAGAGGAGAUGAGAUUUUUACAUAGUAUAAUAUUGAAUGAGACAACAGUCAAAAGAAAAUCACAUACUAUAAGAGAAGAGAUUACCCUUACCUUUUAGGAAUCAAGAAAACUCCCUGGAGGAGAUGGUACUUGAACUUAUACUGGAGGAUUUAUAUGUUCAUCCUUCUUGGUUUAUAUUUUGUCCCACACGGUAGCUUGUUUCUUUUUUCUUUUUUUUCUUUUUCUUUUUUUUUUUUUGAGGCAGAGUUUUGCUCUGUUGCCCAGGCUAGAGUGCAGUGGCGCGAUCUCGGCUCACUGCAACCUCCACCUCCUGGGUUCAAGCGAUUCUCCUGCCUCAGCCUCCCUAGUAGCUUGUUUCUUAGAGACAGUGUGAGUGAAACUCAUUAAGUAAAGUCAAUACAGCACAAGUUUCAUAAAAUGGUAAAGAAAUAGAAAUAAAAGUAAAGGAUGAAAUUCUUAAGAACUUUGUCAGGCCAGGCGUGGUGGCUCAUGCCUGUAAUCCCAGCACUUUGGGAGGCCGAGGUGGGUGGAUCACCUGAGGUCAGGAGUUUGAGACCAGCCUGGCCAACAUGGCAAAACCCUGUCUCUCUAAAAAUACAAAAAUUAGCUGGGCAUGCUGGCGGGUGCCUAUAAUCCCAGCUACUCGGGAGGCUGAGGCAGGAGAAUCGCUUGAACCCAGGAGGCGGAGGUUGCAGUGAGCCGAGAUCACAUCAUUCCACUCCAGCCUGGGUGCCAAGAGCAAAAAACUCCAUCUUGAAAAAUAAAGAACUUUGUCUCCAGUAUCAUUCUUGUUCUAGGACUGAGAAACAGUUCAUUCUUCAUUUUCGUCUACUAAAAUUUAAGUUCUUUGAUUUUCUUCUUUAGGUCUUGGAAAAAGAAUUAAUAGAGUAAUUUUCUUAGGUAUCAAGUAAUGAAAAUGAGAAAAGAGACUAGUCUCAUUAUAGAUUUUUUUUUUUAUUCUUAUUUUAUUUUAUUUGAGACAAGGUCUCGCUCUGUCACCCAGGCUGGAGUGUAGUGGCUCCAUUAUGGUUCCCUGCAGCCUUGAACUCAGGGGCCCAAGCAAUCCUCCCACCUCAGCAUCCCGAGCAGCUGGGACUACAGGUGCAUGCCACCAUGCCUGGCUAAUUUUUGUGCUUUUUCGUGUAUAAAGAUGAGAUUUCGCCAUGUUGCCCAGGCUGGUCUCAAACUCCUGGGCUCAAGAGAUCUGUCCACCUCAGCCUCCUAAAGCGCUGAGAUUACAGGCAUGAGCCACCACGUCCAGCCUAGAGAUAUUUAUACUUUAAUAGCUGCCUGCAAUACCAAUACACCUAGAAUGAAUUAGAAGAAUUUGAAAACAGAUUUCAGGAUUAGUAAAAGAAAGUCAAGCCCUAUGCCUCCUGUUCUACAUUCCUCAAAUCACAUAAUCCUGAUUUUUUCCUCUUCGUAUGAAAAUUCCUCUCAUUUUGGGCCUGUUUGAUUUUUUGGGAGACACCACCCAGCAGAAACACACCGCACUUACAUGCAACCCCUCCAUUGCACAGUUUCUAAAUGCCCCCCCGCUUUUUUUUCCAUUCUCUGAUCCUAAAAAAAGAAAUCCAGUGGCACAAUCACGGAUCUCUGCAGCCUUGAUCUCUUAGCCUCAAGUGAUUCUCCUGCCUCAGCUUCCUGAGUAGCUGGGACCACAGGUGCUUGCCACCAUGCCCAGCUAUUUUUUUUUCUUUGUUUUUUUGUAAAGAUGUGUCUCACUAUCUUGCCCAGGCUGAUAUUGAAUUCCUGGGCUCAAGUGAUCCUCCUACCUUGGCCUCCCAAAGUGCUGGGAUUUUAUAUAUAUAUAUAUAUAUAUAUAUAUAUAUAUAUAUAUUUCCAUUUUACUUAUGUUAAUGCUUUCCCUCUUUUGGCAUAGAAAAGCUAAUAAAGCUUAAACUUAAAUGGAACUUGUAUAAACACAAUAUAUCUGAUGAUACCUUUGAGAGAUGUCUUACAUUUGUCUUUUCUUUCAGCAAAAUGUGAUGCCAGUCCCUGAAAUGUGUAGCAAUUUAAUUAUGGGUAGCAUUCUUCUUUCCCUGUACUUACUAUAGUAUUAACUUACUACUAAUGCUAAGAAGUUUAUAAUUUUUGAUAAUUCAGAUUUGGAUUAGAUUAAGAUUUAUGUCUAUGCAUAAUUCAUUAAAAACUUUUUAAACCAAAUUGUCAAAAAAGAUUGUAGGUACCUUGUUUAAAGAAAAUAUAUAAGCUAGUUUCAAGAAUUCCAAAAUAUUUUUUAAAAGCAGCUCUGUACAUGUCGAUAAAUUAUUUGCUCAUUGUAAUUUUUUGAAUCUGUUUGUCAAAGCAAAUGUAGACGGGCUCGAACUCCUGACCUCAAAUGAUCCACCCGCCUCAGUCUCCCAAAUGCUGGUAUUACAGGCAUGAGCCACUGCUCAUGGCCUGUUAUCAUUUUUAAUUGAAAAUUUUACUGAGAUAAUUGUAGAUUCACUUGCCAUUAUAAGAAAUAAUUCAGAGAUAUCACUUGUAUACUUAGCCCAGUGUCCCCCAAAGGUAAAAUUUUGCAAAAUUAUAGUCUAAUGUAACAGCGUGAAUAUUGACAUUAAUACAAUCCACUGAGUUUAUUCAGAUUUCCCCAGUUUUACUUGUAUUCAAUUGUGUGUUUGUGUAUUAAGUUCGAUAUAACUAGUCAAUAUACUGAACAGUUCUAACAUCACAAGUAUCCUUCAGGUAGCCCUUUUGUAUCCACAUCCACUUCCUUCUCAUCCCCAACUAUUGACAACCACUAAUCCCUUUUCCAUUUCUAAAAUGUGAUUUCAAAAAUGUUACAUACUUGGCUGGGGGCGGUGGCUCAUGCCUGUAAUCCCAGCACUUUGGAUAUACGGUCUCUACUAAAAAUACAAAAAUUAGCUGGGAGUGGUUGUGCACACCUGUAAUCCCAGGUGCUUGGGAAGCUGAGGCAGGAGAAUUGCUUGAACCCAGGAGGCAGAGCUUGCAGUGAGCCGAGAGUGUGCCACUUCACUCCAGCCUGGGCAACAGAGUGAGACUCUGUUUCAAAAAUAAAUAAAUAAAUAAAUAAAAUGGUCUUCAUACAGCCUUUGCUGCUAGGAAAUAUAGUUUCUAAUUAAUGUAAUUUUUUGUCAAAUACAAAAUGCUUCUGAACGUUUCUGGUUAUCAAGCUGGUAAUCUUUCACAGUGUCCUCAAUUUUUUUUUCUACUCUCUUACUAGUUCUCCAGAUCACAUGCAGGCUAUUAAGAAAUGUGAACUAACAAGUUAAAGUAGCAGGACGGGCGCUGUGGCUCACACCUAUAAUCCCAGCACUUUGGGAAGCUGAGGCAGGUGGAUCACUUGAGGUCAGGAGUUUGAGAGCAGCCUGGCCAACAAGGUGAAACCACAUCUCUACUAAAAAAAAAAAAAAUUUGCCAGGUGUGGUGGUGCAUACCUGUAAUCCUAGCUAUUUGGGAGGCUGAGGCAUGAGAAUCGCUUGAACCCAGGAGGCAGAGGCUGCGGGGAGCCAGGAUCAUAGCACUGCACUCCAGCCUGGGUGACAGAGCUAGACCCUGUCUGAAAAAAAAAAAAAAUGUUAGUAGCAGCAGAGCACAGUGGCUCAUGCCUGUAAUCCCAACACUAUGGGAGUCUGAGGCGGGAGGAUCUCUUGAGCUUAGGAGUUCAAGACCAGCCUGACAACAUAGUAAGACUCCAUCUCUACAAAUAAUCAUUAAAAAAAUUAGCCGGGCGUAGUGGCACCUACCUGUAGUCCCAGCUACUGGGGAGGCUGAGAUGGGAGGAUCACCUGGGCCUGGGAGGUCAAGGCUGCAGUGAGCUGUGAUCGCCAUUGUACUCCAAACUGGGUGACAAGAGUGAGACCAUGCCUCAAAAAUAAUAAU